RNAcentral lists this ribosomal RNA (420 nucleotides) under uncultured bacterium. Its description in RNAcentral is "bacterial SSU rRNA". It matches the Rfam family "Bacterial small subunit ribosomal RNA", at positions 355 to 774 of the family's 1533-position model. The record is from RNAcentral.
UGGGGAAUCUUGCGCAAUGGCCUAACGGCUGACGCAGCGACGCCGCGUGUGGGAUGAAGCUCUUCGGAGUGUAAACCACUGUUGCCCGGGACGAAUAGCUCGAUUAAUCGAGCCUGACGGUACCGGGUGAGGAAGCACCGGCUAACUCCGUGCCAGCAGCCGCGGUAAUACGGGGGUGCGAGCGUUGUCCGGAAUCACUGGGCGUAAAGGGCGCGUAGGUGGUUUGUUAAGUUGGAUGUGAAAUCCCCGGGCUCAACCUGGGAACUGCCUUUGAUACUGCAAGUCUUGAGGAUGAGAGAGGUAAGUGGAACUGCGAGUGUAGAGGUGAAAUUUCGUUAGAUAUUCGGAGGAACACCAGUGGCGAAGGCGGCUCACUGGCUCGAUACUGACGCUGAGGUGCGAAAGCGUGGGGAGCAAACA